RNAcentral lists this long non-coding RNA (552 nucleotides) under Manihot esculenta (cassava). RNAcentral describes it as "long non-coding RNA (MESC_LNC011540)". The record is from RNAcentral. Lineage: Eukaryota; Viridiplantae; Streptophyta; Magnoliopsida; Malpighiales; Euphorbiaceae.
GUCAUCAUCUUCCUCCACUAAAUCAAGCCAAAAUAGCCUUUUGCAUUGAUGACCACGAACAAAUGGUUCUUCACAAUUGAAGCAGAGUCCCCUUUGUCUUCGUUCUUCCAUCUCAGCCCGUGUUAGCCUUUUCACCGUUCUAGCAGGUAAUAAAUUUGAUAUUGAUGGUGCACUAGUUCUCUUAUUUUCAUGAGAACCAUAUUGUUUCAAAGCUGCCUGCUUUCGUUCAUACAAUCGGGACAUGCUCAUUGUCGUUGCCAAAUCUGUAGGAUGAUGCAGUUCUACCUCUACAGCUAUGUAUUCUUGCAGCCCGCUAAUAUAGAGUUGAACCUUUUGCAUUCGUGUGAGACUUCCUGCCCUUGCAACUAGGAUUUCAAAUUGAUUCUGGUAAUCUACCAUAGAACCAGUUUGUUUCAAUUUGGCUAACUCUCCCAGCUUGUUGGAUCGAAUCGAAGGUCCAAAUCUGAUGUUGCAUUGCUCUUUGAACUCUGUCCAUGAUGGGUCAGGAACAUCAUCAAGAAAUUGCAUGUACCAAGGCUGCGCCACUCCUAC